UACGUAGGGUCCGAGCGUUGUCCGGAAUUAUUGGGCGUAAAGAGCUUGUAGGCGGUUUGUCGCGUCUGCCGUGAAAAUUCGAGGCUCAACCUCGAACUUGCGGUGGGUACGGGCAGACUAGAGUGUGGUAGGGGAGACUGGAAUUCCUGGUGUAGCGGUGAAAUGCGCAGAUAUCAGGAGGAACACCGGUGGCGAAGGCGGCUACCUGGACAGAAACUGACGCUGAGGCGCGAAAGCGAGGGGAGCAAACAGG
Molecule: ribosomal RNA, 253 nt
Filed under: uncultured bacterium
Lineage: Bacteria
Description: partial 16S ribosomal RNA
Rfam family: Bacterial small subunit ribosomal RNA
Source: RNAcentral